AGUAGAUACAAACUGUGAGAAGAGAUCACUCCUCCUAAAUGCUGUUGGAACUGAAAAUCAACCUGUGGGCACUGAAAUAUUGAGAUGAGGAAGAAACCCCAGGCAGAAGGCAACGGAGAGAACACAUGCAUAGAGAGUGAGAUGCCCUUGAAUUUGGGGACCGUGUUGAUCACGGAAGGAGCUGCCGAAGCCGGCUGCCCGCUGGAGUGUGCUUGGCACUGCUCCAAAGAACGAGAAACAACCUGACCUUUCCGACAGUUUAUCCAGACCCUGGAGGGAUCUUCCAGGGCUGGAGCCCCUCGACAGAGAGUGCUUCACUGAGACAGACCCAAACCUCCACCAAGAAGAAACUCCAAGCAAGAGGCCUGUCUGCAGACGCUUACACAUGUGUCGACACAUAAGGUGCAUGCAUGCCUGCCUAGAAAGCAUCUGAAGGACACGCAGUAGCAUCAGGUGUGGGAAUCUCAGGGCAAUUUUAGGUUCUUGGUUUUGCCACACCGACUUUCUUAAACUUUUACAGUGCCUAGGUAAUAUAUGUGUGAUGAUAUUUUUCUUUGAUUAAACAAAUAAAGAGCGAUUACGUAUUCCA
Molecule: non-coding RNA, 589 nt
Organism: Ictidomys tridecemlineatus (thirteen-lined ground squirrel)
Lineage: Eukaryota; Metazoa; Chordata; Mammalia; Rodentia; Sciuridae
Source: RefSeq, a predicted model, not a curated record